RNAcentral lists this ribosomal RNA (277 nucleotides) under uncultured prokaryote. Its description in RNAcentral is "partial 16S ribosomal RNA". It matches the Rfam family "Bacterial small subunit ribosomal RNA", at positions 524 to 801 of the family's 1533-position model. The record is from RNAcentral.
CACGGGGUUGCGAGCGUUGUCCGGAAUUACUAGGCGUAAAGGGCAGGCAGGCGGAUCCAUAAGUUUAUCGUUUAAGGCGUCGGCUUAACCGGCGUAGGGCGGUAGUUACUGUGGAUCUGGAAUGCGGUUGGGGAAGACAGAAUUCCUGGUGUAGCGGUGGAAUGCGCAGAGAUCAGGAGGAAUACCGAAGGCGAAGGCAGUCUUCCAAGCCGUUAUUGACGCUCAACUGCGAAGGUGUGGGUAUCAAACAGGAUUAGAUACCCUGGUAGUCCCUGAG